This 2117-nucleotide ribosomal RNA is filed under the name bioreactor metagenome. Its description in RNAcentral is "bacterial LSU rRNA". It matches the Rfam family "Bacterial large subunit ribosomal RNA", at positions 3 to 1984 of the family's 2925-position model. The record is from RNAcentral.
UCAAGCGAACAAGAGCACAGGGCGGAUGCCCAGGCACCAAGCGCCGAAGAAGGACGUGGCAAGCUGCGAAAAGCUACGGGGAGCCGCAAGCAGGCAGAGAACCGUAGAUAUCCGAAUGGGGAAACCCGGCGGACCGAAGGUCCGCCACUGCCAGAUGAACACAUAGUCUGGACAGAGGAAACCCGGGGAACUGAAACAUCUAAGUACCCGGAGGAAGAGAAAGAAAGAUCGAUUUCCCAAGUAGCGGCGAGCGAACGGGAAAGAGCCCAAACCAGGGAGCAUGCUUUCUGGGGUUGCGGGCCGGCGAGAGACGGCGGGGAAUCUAGGCGAAUAGAGCAGGGAAGCUCAGCCAGAGGGGGUAACAGCCCCGUAGCCGAAAGAGGAACCAAAGGAGCCGGACCCAGAGUACCGCAGGGCACGAGAAACCCGGCGGGAAGCAGGGGGGACCACCCCCCAAGGCUAAAUACGACUUGGUGACCGAUAGCGCAUAGUACCGUGAGGGAAAGGUGAAAAGAACCCCGGGAGGGGAGUGAAAGAGAACCUGAAACCCUAUGUUUACAAGCAGAGGGAGCGCGAUCUAGGCGCGACCUUGUACUUUUUGUAGAACGGACCGGCGAGUUGUGAUUUCCAGCGAGGUUAAGGGUUUAAAGGCCCGGAGCCGAAGCGAAAGCGAGUCUGAAGAGGGCGAGAUAGUUGGAGGUUGCAGACCCGAAACCGGGUGAUCUAUCCAUGGCCAGGUUGAAGUGGGAGUAAAAUCUCAUGGAGGACCGAACCAAACGUCUGUUGAAAAAGGCGGGGAUGAGCUGUGGAUAGGGGAGAAAUUCCAAUCGAACCCGGAGAUAGCUGGUUCUCCUCGAAAUAGCUUUAGGGCUAGCCUCGUAUUAGAUUACCGGAGGUAGAGCACUGAAUGUGGGCGGGAGCCACAAAGCUUACCAAACACUAUCAAACUUCGAAUGCCGGCUAAUUGAUGUACGGGAGUCAGUCCGUGAGAGAUAAGUUUCACGGGCAAAAGGGAAACACCCCAGAUCGUCCGCUAAGGUCCCCAAGUGCAUGUUAAGUGGAGAAGGAUGUGGAAUUGCACAGACAACCAGGAUGUUGGCUUAGAAGCAGCCAUACAUUUAAAGAGUGCGUAAUAGCUCACUGGUCGAGUGAUGAUGCGCCGAAGAUGUCCGGGGCUAAAACACGCCACCGAAGCUUCGGGUUUCCAGGUAUUUACACUGCAGUUGGAAACGUGAACGCGGAAAAGGAAGGAUAGAUUUGCGGAUUUCGACCGUGACGAGGAGCGAAGCGAGCGUCAAGAUCGAAGAAAUCCGCCAGAUGUGCCUUUAAGGCGAAAACACACGGAAUUCGAAAGCGGUGUAAAUACCUGGGAGCGGUAGAGGAGCAUAGUGUGCUGACAGAAGCGGUAUCGAAAGGCGCCGUGGACGGCACAGUAGAGAGAAUGCCGGUAUGAGUAACGAGAUGCAGGCGAGAAACCUGCACGUCGAAAGCCCAAGGUUUCCUGGGGAAGGUUCAUCCGCCCAGGGUAAGUCGGGGCCUAAGCCGAGGACGGUAGUCGUAGGCGAUGGACAACUGGUGGAGAUUCCAGUACCACCUAUAUGAGUGACGCAUUGACACAGAAGGAUAGCAUGAGCCGGUUGAUGGUAGAGCCGGUCCAAGCGGUUAGGCGGGGAGAUAGUGAAGUACGUCUCCCGAGGUAGCUAAGCCGUGAUGGGGAGCGAAAAACAAGUAGCGAAGCAUGUGAAUCCAGGCUGGCGAGAAAAGGUGCUAACAAUUGUAUGGGUGCCCGUACCGCAAACCGACGCAGGUGGGCGAGGAGAGAAUCCUAAGACGAACGGGAGAACCCUUGUUAAGGAACUCGGCAAAAUGACCCCGUAACUUCGGGAGAAGGGGUGCCUCGAAAGAGGCCGCAGAGAAAAGGCCCAAGCGACUGUUUAGCAAAAACACAGGUUUGUGCGAAAGCGAGAGCUGACGUAUACGAGCUGACGCCUGCCCGGUGCUGGAAGGUUAAGAGGAGCCGUCAGGGGAAACCCGAAGCGGUGAAUUGAAGCCCCAGUAAACGGCGGCCGUAACUAUAACGGUCCUAAGGUAGCGAAAUUCCUUGUCGGGUAAGUUCC